UUUAAGCUUCCUACGGGAGGCUGCAGUGGGGAAUCUUGCGCAAUGGGCGAAAGCCUGACGCAGCCAUGCCGCGUGAAUGAUGAAGGUCUUAGGAUUGUAAAAUUCUUUCACCGGGGACGAUAAUGACGGUACCCGGAGAAGAAGCCCCGGCUAACUUCGUGCCAGCAGCCGCGGUAAUACGAAGGGGGCUAGCGUUGCUCGGAAUUACUGGGCGUAAAGGGAGCGUAGGCGGACAUUUAAGUCAGGGGUGAAAUCCCGGGGCUCAACCUCGGAAUUGCCUUUGAUACUGGGUGUCUUGAGUAUGAGAGAGGUGUGUGGAACUCCGAGUGUAGAGGUGAAAUUCGUAGAUAUUCGGAAGAACACCAGUGGCGAAGGCGACACACUGGCUCAUUACUGACGCUGAGGCUCGAGGGGCGUGGGGAGCAAACAGGAUUAGAUACCCUUGUAGUCGAAUUCUU
This 458-nucleotide ribosomal RNA is filed under the name uncultured bacterium. RNAcentral's name for it is "bacterial SSU rRNA". It matches the Rfam family "Bacterial small subunit ribosomal RNA", at positions 329 to 803 of the family's 1533-position model. The record is from RNAcentral.